GAAGCCCCGGCAGGCGUCAACCUACGUCUCAGGAUUUGCAAUCCUGCAUGGAAACUACACUACAAGGCU
This 69-nucleotide transfer RNA is filed under the name Polypterus senegalus (gray bichir). Its description in RNAcentral is "tRNA-Cys". Lineage: Eukaryota; Metazoa; Chordata; Cladistia; Polypteriformes; Polypteridae. The record is from RNAcentral.